Molecule: non-coding RNA, 117 nt
Organism: Tinamus guttatus (white-throated tinamou)
Lineage: Eukaryota; Metazoa; Chordata; Aves; Tinamiformes; Tinamidae
Source: RefSeq, a predicted model, not a curated record
UUUGCAGCAAUGGAAGCGAACGGCAGCUUCCUCGCUUGCAACAGCCUGAAAGAUGACAAGGAUCUGAAGUUCCUUCUCAAAGGCAGCCAGCUGAUCAAAGUGAAGUCAGGUUCUUGG